GGAGAAGUGGCCGAGUGGCUGAAGGCGGCGCCCUGCUAAGGCGUUAGGUGGGGAAAAUCCCUGCCUCGAGGGUUCGAAUCCCUCCUUCUCCGCCU
RNAcentral lists this transfer RNA (95 nucleotides) under Actinobacteria bacterium RBG_16_68_12. RNAcentral describes it as "tRNA-Ser". It matches the Rfam family "tRNA". Rfam says of the family: Transfer RNA (tRNA) molecules are approximately 80 nucleotides in length. Their secondary structure includes four short double-helical elements and three loops (D, anti-codon, and T loops). The record is from RNAcentral. Lineage: Bacteria; Bacillati; Actinomycetota. RNAcentral also lists the same sequence under 1 other name.